CGUCCUAUAGUACAAUGGAUCAGUGUGUUUGGCUGUUAACCAGAAGGUUGGUUGUUUGACCCCACCUAGGGAUGG
This is a non-coding RNA of Podarcis lilfordi (Lilford's wall lizard), 75 nucleotides long. NCBI's taxonomy places the organism in Eukaryota, Metazoa, Chordata, Lepidosauria, Squamata, Lacertidae. The record is from the annotation of a GenBank genome assembly.